AGUCGAGGGGCAGCGGGGGAGUAGCAAUACUCCCGCCGGCGACCGGCGCACGGGUGAGUAACACGUAUGGAACCUGCCCGCAGCAGGGGGAUAAGCGGAAGAAAUUCCGUCUAAUACCGCGUAAGAACGUUGGGAGGCAUCUCCCGAUGUUUAAAGAUUUAUCGGCUGCGGAUGGCCAUGCGGCGCAUUAGCUAGUCGGCGGGGUAACGGCCCACCGAGGCGACGAUGCGUAGGGGUUCUGAGAGGAAGGUCCCCCACACUGGUACUGAGACACGGACCAGACUCCUACGGGAGGCAGCAGUGAGGAAUAUUGGUCAAUGGGCGCGAGCCUGAACCAGCCAAGUCGCGUGAGGGAAGACGGUCCUAUGGAUUGUAAACCUCUUUUGUCGGGGAGCAAAAGACGCCACGUGUGGCGUUCCGAGAGUACCCGAAGAAAAAGCAUCGGCUAACUCCGUGCCAGCAGCCGCGGUAAUACGGAGGAUGCGAGCGUUAUCCGGAUUUAUUGGGUUUAAAGGGUGCGCAGGCGGAAGAUCAAGUCAGCGGUAAAAUUGAGAGGCUCAACCUCUUCGAGCCGUUGAAACUGGUUUUCUUGAGUGAGCGAGAAGUAUGCGGAAUGCGUGGUGUAGCGGUGAAAUGCAUAGAUAUCACGCAGAACUCCGAUUGCGAAGGCAGCAUACCGGCGCUCAACUGACGCUCAUGCACGAAAGUGUGGGUAUCGAACAGGAUUAGAUACCCUGGUAGUCCACACAGUAAACGAUGAAUACUAAUUG
RNAcentral lists this ribosomal RNA (770 nucleotides) under uncultured bacterium. RNAcentral's name for it is "bacterial SSU rRNA". It matches the Rfam family "Bacterial small subunit ribosomal RNA", at positions 60 to 822 of the family's 1533-position model. The record is from RNAcentral.